Populus nigra (black poplar) is the source of this 1691-nucleotide long non-coding RNA. RefSeq lists it as uncharacterized. NCBI's taxonomy places the organism in Eukaryota, Viridiplantae, Streptophyta, Magnoliopsida, Malpighiales, Salicaceae. The transcript has 2 exons. The record is from RefSeq and is a predicted model, not a curated record.
UUCAUAUCUAGUUUUAAACACUGAUCAGACAUUCUUCAAUUCCGCCAGUAGUUUGAUUUUCAUGAAAUCAUUCUUUUUGUCUGGUUUUUGUUUUCAUCAAAUGGUCUGAUUGUCUCAUUGCUUGUGGGCAUUCAGGGACAGAAUUAUAAGACAACCCAUAUCGGAGCAAUACGAAAUAACCCGUGAGCAAGUGCCUAUAAAAAUGGAGCAGACAGGGAGAAGAAAGCACGCAGCCGCGCGGUGAGCACAAAGCGAACUAUUCUUUCGCCUUUUACUAAAGAAUACCGUGUGCGCGCCGCAAUCAGCGGCAUACGCUUAUUUUUGGAGGGUUCUUUUCCUUGGGGGAAGUACCCUAACUGAACAGUUCAAAGUUUUGCUUCUCUUCUACCAUUAUAAUAAUCGUAGAAAUAUUGUCCGAGUCCGGUAUUUGGGUUCGAUUCUAGAUGAACUUCUAAUUUGUGAGCGUCUUUAUAGUGUGUCCGAGUCUUCUCUCCUCGUGCUGUCAUUACUCCCGUCAAAUCCUUUGCAGAGUCACCAGACCUCAGCUUUUUAAGCUUUGGAGGGGAUAAAACUCAACUCGAUACUCAUAUAGUAAGUGAUCUAUCUAUGUUGAUUCCAUCAUUUUUUCUGUUCCGGUACAUUAACUAAAAGCUUAAGAUUUAAAUGGGCUCAUCCAUAUAUAAUAAUCAUUAUUAUACAUUUUUUUAUUUACCUCAGUUCUCGAAAUGCCCUUUAUAUAAUAUACUCCCUCACUCUUCUGGUAUAACAUAAUUUAUCGAUGGGAAAUAUAUUUGGAUAACAAGUUCCUGCUUUUAGAUUCCAUCUUUUACUAUCAGAGUAAAAGCCUUGAAAUCUGAUCACUUGACAAAAAAGGAGAGCAGUGAUCUACAAGUAUUUUUUCAGUCCUUAAUCCUUAGCUCUGCAACUGCAUAUCAGUAUCUGACGUAAUAAGCAACAUUUGGUAUGCCAUUAUUUUGUGUCUGAACAAGUUUUAUGGCAUUGUAAUCUGCUGUCAGACAUUUCUUGGUACUGUCAAAUACGCAUAGAUUAUCAUCAAUUGUCACAAGAUUGGGGAUGAUGCAUUGAUCAAGGUCUCGAUACAAAGCUUCGGAGGAACCUGCCCAAAUUCUCUCACCAAAUCAACCUUUGAAGCUCAUUUUUGGGAACAGAUACCUGGGAUGGAAAUGCUUUACUUACAACCUUCACUAAUUCUAGAUUUUGAUUCUCUACCAUACAAUCAAUCAGUUUUGUAGGCAUCAACAUAUCUCUACUCGGUAUUAAAUAUAACUCAUUGGACUAGAGAAAAUGCGUGUGCAGGUGCAUUGAGAAUGCAGUGAAGCGUUGUACGCUCACCUUUACAAUCCCACACAGAGAAAAGACAACGUUUAAGCAAGGAAUGUGUCUAUAAAUAAGAAGCUCGAAGCAACAUGUUCCAUACUUACCUGGACGGGGUCUAUGGGCGAUCAAGAAGUUUCAUUGCCUAUGUCAGUGACGUCCAUUGCACUGGGGAUGGGUGCUGGCUUAAGGUCUCUUCAAGUGGGAGAUCCCACGUCAAAAUUUGUGGCAGAGGGGGCUGCGCAAGCCGCGGCCCCUGUUCAAUUCUAUCUCAAGAUUUCUUGUAAUUCCAACUUGGAAGUCCGAUUCUAAAUUCGAAGUUCAUAUAUUACUAAUAUGGAGCAUCGGUUAGAUAA